Molecule: ribosomal RNA, 542 nt
Filed under: uncultured Thalassovita sp.
Lineage: Bacteria; Pseudomonadati; Pseudomonadota; Alphaproteobacteria; Rhodobacterales; Roseobacteraceae
Description: bacterial SSU rRNA
Rfam family: Bacterial small subunit ribosomal RNA
Source: RNAcentral
GCCAGUCGCGGCGGUAAUACGGAGGGGGUUAGCGUUGUUCGGAAUUACUGGGCGUAAAGCGCGCGUAGGCGGGCUAGUAAGUUAGAGGUGAAAUCCCGGGGCUCAACCCCGGAACUGCCUUUAAUACUGCUAGUCUUGAGUUCGAGAGAGGUGAGUGGAAUUCCAAGUGUAGAGGUGAAAUUCGUAGAUAUUUAGAGGAACACCAGUGGCGAAGGCGGCUCACUGGCUCGAUACUGACGCUGAGGUACGAAAGUGUGGGGAGCAAACAGGAUUAGAUACCCUGGUAGUCCACGCCGUAAACGCUGGGUACUAGGUGUCGGGAGGCUUGGCCCUCUCGGUGUCGACCCUAACGGAUUAAGUACCCCGCCUGGGGAGUACGGCCGCAAGGCUGAAACUCAAAGGAAUUGACGGGGGCCCGCACAAGCGGUGGAGCAUGUGGUUUAAUUCGAUGAUACGCGAGGAACCUUACCAGGGCUUAAAUGUAAGUUGCAUUAGUUAGAGAUAGCUAUUUCUUCGGACCACUUACAAGGUGCUGCAUGGUU